CGCUUGUGUAUGAGAGUUAUUGUAUUUGGAGGCAGUGUCCAAAAGUUGUCCAAAAUAGAAUGAGUGGAAUUGUCACACUCGAUCGGAGAGAGUGGGAGGAAAGGACAGGCUGCAGGGCCUCCUACCGGACAACAUUGACUAAAACGGGAUGUCCAGGUUCCUGGCCUUGCUUCCUAGCUCGCCAUCAAAGGAGUUGACCUCACAGGCUCCACUCCAGGAAGCAGACACCAUGUCAUCACAACAACAGAAGCAGGACCGACACAGAACCAAGGAAGUCCAAUCCCAUCACGCAUCCAAAGCAGCAUGAGGAUCCUCGCAAAACAAACCUCCGGCCCCCCUCAAGCAACCACCGUCGUCCAAAAAGAAGAAGAGCAGGAGGUGGGAGGAUGCAGCCUGGCAGUUCCUUCCAGCUGGGUCAUAUUUAACGCAGCGGUACCAGAUGAGAGAACUUGCAACCACCCGCACGAGAAUCCCAUGCCUCAAUUUACAGAAGCAUAGAGAAAGAGAAUCAAUAGAUGUAUUAUUUCACCUCGUUAUGCCACUUGAGCAGCACCGUGUUUAUGCUGCGUUGCGAUGAAGAACCCCACUACGCAGCAACCCACGCAUGAGGCUUCAAGCUGAUAAAAAGGAAAAAUAGCCCAUCCAGAGUCAAAGGCAUGUUACGCUCAAUGAUCCCCCCCUCCACAGUGCUGUUAAUGGGGGAGGUGGAAUUAUAAAUCCUAUAAAAAACACAGAGGCUCGAUGUACAGUGUGUGUAUGAAUGUGUGUAUUGAUGAGUAGAAGAUACUUUACAGUAUCUUCAGUGCACUUCAGGAAGCUGGAUGAGCAGCUUUUCACAGGAAGAUGCAUGUUGUUGCCAUGGCAACCAAAAAAAAGUGAAGACACACAUUUGAAGACAAAACCCCUUCUUCAAUUAUUUAUUAUUGC
Molecule: long non-coding RNA, 927 nt
Organism: Dunckerocampus dactyliophorus (ringed pipefish)
Lineage: Eukaryota; Metazoa; Chordata; Actinopteri; Syngnathiformes; Syngnathidae
Exons: 3
Source: RefSeq, a predicted model, not a curated record